Molecule: RNA transcript, 5217 nt
Organism: Pangasianodon hypophthalmus (striped catfish)
Lineage: Eukaryota; Metazoa; Chordata; Actinopteri; Siluriformes; Pangasiidae
Exons: 15
Source: RefSeq, a predicted model, not a curated record
GAACUACUCUACACUACAUAAUUAACAUUUUCUUGUCUCCCUUGCAGAUCCUUGCAGGUCAAACGAGUCACCUGCCCGAACCUAGAUACACCUGAUUUACCGAACCCAAAGGCACUUUUAAGAGCCAACCUCUAUCUAUCUAUCUAUCUAUCUAUCUAUCUAACUCUUGCAACCUCUGUGUAUACAGUACAUCUGUCUGUUUGUGUCUGUCUGUCUGGCUGUGUGUUCGUCUGUCUGUAUCUGUUUGCGUUGCAAUGGCCACCAAGCAUAAACUUGACUCACAGGAUCCCCACUACCAAGAGGGAAGACGCAUGGCUUUUGAACUGAAACUAGACUGUGUUCUAGCUGAAGCCAGGACAGCAGCUGUGGAGAGGAAACACGCUCUGUAGGAGACCCUCCACAGACCUCUAAAAGGGAGUUUUUAGGACAUGGCAAGCCGAGGGGGAGGCAAGGAGGGCGAUGCCAAGCUUCAGCUACAGUCACACAAACCCCGGUUGAGUGCUCCCUGUCAUCCAGUGUGGAGGUUCCACUUACUGUACCCUCAGCAGAAUUAAAUCCUCAAGAGCAAUUUGAAAAAAAUAUGGAGAGGCUUUCUGUUAUUUUGGCAUCAUAUCCUUCUGCUGAGCCUCAAAGAAGCUCUGCAUCAUCAUGGUCUUUUCAGCAGCAGAAAUCCUCAGAGUGCUGGAAAGAAGCAAGACCAUACCACCUAAAAUGCCUCAUUGCAAAAGAGGCUGUUGGUCAUCUCUUGUGUUGGCUUUGCCACGAGCCUGCUGUUAUUAGAUUGGUUUUCAUUAAUGUUAAACUUUAAUUACCCAGGGUAGGCCUGCUGAGAAUUAAUGCACAGUGCCCUGCUUUAUAGGCUAGGAUGCAUGUGUGUUGGGGUGGGAGAAAACUUGGAUACCCAGAUGAAUUAAACCUAGUGUCUAACUAAAUUUGGAAUAGCUUAAAUUGAGUGUGUUGUACUUUAUAUUAUUCACCUGAAAUAAUAUAUUAGAAUUUUUAUUUUAUUUUCUCCCUAGGUGCAGAGAGUGUCGUCCUGAGGAGUGGUUCUGUGGAGACUGUGAUGUACUGCAUCACAAAAAACAGCCACUCCACAACAGGGAAUGUGCCAUUCCUCCAACCUCAUGUGUCAUGAAAGGGAAAGAUGGAUAUUGCAGCCAUGAGCAAGCUUGCCUUUUGCCAACUGUGAAGGUGCCAGACUGCUCCUGUGAAGGCACAAACUUCAUCGUGUUACCAGGCAAACCAGUGAUUUUAAUUACCAUCAAUGCCACUAUAUGUUUGUCAAACGUGCCAGCAUCACUGGACCCCUGACUUGAAGGACCUCCUUAGGAGUGGAUAUUGGCCAGCCUCUGUCACCAGUUCCACACUUUAUACACUGGACCUCCUGAGCUCAUUUCAGGAACUCAAGGUCAUCUCUCCGGGAUUCUCCAGACAAGCCUUCGCAAAGCUGCUAGAGCAUCACACUAAGGUUGGAGGAAGAUCUGGACAUAUCAACGGUGAUACACUACAGCACAGCUUCUUAGAGUUCUGCUUCAUUUGCGGAAGACCAGCUCUGCUGUGGUGCUCCUUUCACCUGCCCAGCCUGCACGCCGGAAAUGUUGGCUGUUUCAGCCGAUGGAAACAGAAAGCUAUAUCGCUUUCGCCAAGACACAAGCUCUGAUGAUCCUGCCUUUUUUGAGGGGCUCUUUGUGGCUGAAGACGUUGCGGUGUCUAGAUUUGUGGAAACCAUACAGAAAGCAGUGAGAAAUACACAGGGAAAAGGCACAUGUGGGGACUCCCAGUGGACAGCAGCGAGGGUGACAUCAAGGAGGGCUUCCAAAUUGGAUGAAGAGGGGAUGGAGGUUGCAGUGUGUCUCCACGGAUUCCUUCUGAAAGCUCUUAAUAUGUACAGGGGUAGAUAUGCUACUAAGUGUGAAAUUAAAUGGAGUGGUAGGAACCAGGAAGGAGCAGGGACAGCCGCCGGUGAGGAGGUCGAGCAAGUGAACAGCUACCUCUCACGUUGUGCCCUGGCAACCAAAUAUAUGUCCAAAGCAGCACGGGUGGACAUGCUUACAUUGCAUGCAAUGGGGUGGAACCACAAAAAAAGUCUCUCUCUAUAUCAAUCACUUUCAACAAGAUAUGUGAAGACAUGUCAGAGACUCCGGGAUGAAACGGCAAGGCUAGCUGAACUAAAAACAGAGUUACUUUGCGCAGAUGAAUUGGUGUCACAGUGGCUUUCUGAUGUGAAGGAAUGGGCAGCUGGCAAGACACCAGCUACAUCUCAUGCCAGUCAAGGCACCACACACAGAGGACUUCAGCAGUCAAUUGAGGGGCUUUACCUUAGUGUGAGGCACCGUCAGAAUGGUGUAACUAUAGAAUAUAACAGCAGCAAGCUUCGCCACUGCCUUCGAAGGAAGCUGGGAGAAGACAAAAAUCUCCUUCUUCAGGAGAUAGAGAAAUACAAUGGUCUUAUACACUCUGCCACUAACAUUGAGGUGGAGCUGUGGUGGAGCAUUCCCUGACUGGAGAGAGCACUGUGUCUCAAAUAUGGCCGUGGGAGGUUCAUGGCAGUGGUAUGUCAGUUUUCAGAUGCUUCACAAGAAUUUAUUUACACUUCUGCUAUAUAGAGUACACUGAACUAAGACAUGGAUGUAACAUAUUGAGUGUUGUAAUGUUCAUUUAGUUUAUGGGUGCAUUUUCUGUUUUCUUAUGUAUCAAUUUGAUUAAAAAAGUACAUGUUUGUAGUUAUAAAACAUUGCAAUGCUAUUAUGCUCAUGUAUAGAUUGUCUCGUGUAUACAUAUAGCUGUUGUUGAUUCUUAGUGAUGUUGUUGAUUUGUUCUACUGUGGCUGUUACAUGAAAGCUGAAAUUAACAAAAUAAUUUUGAACAUUAGAAUUUGUGUCCUGGUGUGUUACACGAGGUUAGCAUAACAUCAAGAUUAAGCUUAUUAUUAUCUCCUCCAGUCAACAUAGAAAAUCUAGCUGGUCAGCAUCAUCAAACACACCUUUUUCUUGAUGUAACUUCUUGAAUGCUACACAAGGUGUUACUUUAGCACAACUGUAGUGAAGAAGAAAGAUGUUAGCUAUUAGACAUUGGCUCUAACACAAAACGCUUUUCUGCUGCUUUGGGCCUCGCUGCAUAAAGUCCCUCAGUGAGCCAUCAGAGUUUAUACAGAAGGUAGCCAGGUAGUAUGACAGUGAUACACAUAAAAAUGCCAGCCAUCCUGGUAUAUAGAUUUGAAUGGGUGAAAUCUUUUUACUCCAUUGAAGUUCUUUGGCCUCAUGAAGCAGUCUUAAUAUGUAGUUUGUCCUUAGAGGCCCUGAGGCCUCUGCCCUUCUACAUGUUGAAGCAGAAGAUCAAAGUGGCCUCAGUAGUCCACAGACACCAGUGAGGAUGUAGAAGAAAACACAAUUUAGCUGAGCUUCACCUUCUUAUCCUACCUUUUGCAUUUUUGUUUUUCUGUAUUUCCCCAAAUGGAAGCUGCACAAAGGACUGUGUUGAAGGAAAUGGACUUGCCCAGUAUCUGUGUAUUUUUAGUAUGCUGAUUGAUUUACCACAUCAAAAUCUGUAUGCAUUCAAUAUUGUUGAAAAUUAAACUUGUGUCUGUAGAUUGCCAAGCAAUUCAGUAAGCACAUGAAUGCUCCUUGAAGAUGCACAAACCUCUUAGUAUAGGUGCACCAAUCUGUGACCUUUCCUCUUGUGUAAAACUCAAGGCUAAACUUUUGACUUGUAUACAACAAAUGUUAGGAACCGAUUUCUAAGAGCAUUCUCCAGCUUCCCAGGCACAGGCAUUCCCUUGUAGCACAACCCUCAGACCAGAAUGUAAAGUUCAAUAUUGUCUAUUGGGCAGAUUUGCCAUGAAAUCUGGUAAGCAAAUUCAUGAUGACGACUUUGGUGACCUCAUGAUGUUUCCUCUAUCGCGACAUUUUGGCCGAAAUGUAAAAGCUCAUUCUUCAUUACUUGCAUUUUCCCCACACUCGCUUAUUCUGCAGUGCAGCAGGUCUGUGCCUUUUUUGUCCAGAGGGGUAUUAUAGGAUAUAGGGGUAUGGGGUAUGGGGGUUAUUAUAGGUAUUAUAGGGGUAUGAGUGUAUUAUAGGAUAUAACUGUUGUGUAACUUUAUAUUACUGCACCAUUGAAGAUAAACAUCAUAACAAAUUCUUUCUUAAAGAUGGUUAUUUCAUUUAUAAUUUGUCUGUCACUGUCAGUUUUGUCCUUAUGGGGUUUCGGCAGGUCCUUAAAAAGUUAAAACAGUUAUAUCGGAUCUAAGGCCAUAAAAAUGUCUUAAAUGGUACAAGACAGUCCUAAUUACGAUUUUUUAUGAUUUUUAUGAUAGGUUCAUGUGACGAUUUAACUUCAAAAGGCUGUGAUUUAAUUGAAUAAAUGGGCACUGCAUGUUUUAAAGUCAGAUGCUGUGCUGCUUUGUGUACUGCCGUUACCAGGGAACCCUGCUGAUAGAAAAUGAAUUGGCAUUUUCAAUAAACCCGUCUGGUGGUGUUGUUCAGACCAAAUAAAAAAAUCUACAAAUAUUUUUACACAGCAAACACGCAUUUAUAAAUGUGAACUGGUAGAUCAACAGUAAGCUCAUGCUAAUGCUUUAUAAAAUUCUAAACAAUUAAUUGAUAUAAAUAAAUAAUAAAAAUAAAUAAAUAAAUUGAUAUUUUAUGUUAUUAUAUUAAUAUAAAUGAUUGAUAAUUGUUUCAAUUAAUGAUACUUUUGACUCGACUCUUUUCUUAAAAGUAGUUGAAAUGUUGAAAUGUGAAGUUUAUCAUUUUAUAAAACUUUGUUUUUGUGAAAACUUAUAAAAUAGUAAAUCAUGCUUUUUUUUUCCAUUCAGUCAUGGUAUUCAUUUUAUUUGUGCAGGUCUUAAAAAGCUCUUUAAAGUCUUACAUUUGAUUUUAAAAAUCCUGCAGAUACUCUGUUAGAAGCACACUGUACAUUACACUUACAUUAAGUACUUGUAUAAUGGCUUAGAUAGUAUGUCAGAAAAAUUAUGUUAUAAUUUUACUUUAUGUUGCAUGUUAUUACAGUUGACAAAUAACUUGAUUCCCUGUUCUGCUGGUGCUUUUCAAGUGAACUUAAGCACAUGGUCCAGUGUUAUUAAAUACAGCCUUAUGGCUUGUUUUACCAAUAUGCAUACUCAUAAUAUGGUGUAUUUUCACUGGAAAUUGUUGUGAAUGGCAAGAAAUAAAGUAAAGUAUUUCCAAAGAUGAGCAUUUUAUGUUUUCAAUUAAUUACCAG